UACGAAGGGGGGCUAGCGUUGCUCGGAAUUACUGGGCGUAAAGCGCACGUAGGCGGCUUUCUAAGUCGGGGGUGAAAUCCUGGAGCUCAACUCCAGAACUGCCUUCGAUACUGGAGCUUGAGUCCGGGAGAGGUGAGUGGAACUGCGAGUGUAGAGGUGAAAUUCGUAGAUAUUCGCAAGAACACCAGUGGCGAAGGCGGCUCACUGGCCCGGUACUGACGCUGAGGUGGCGAAAGCGUGGGGAG
RNAcentral lists this ribosomal RNA (245 nucleotides) under uncultured bacterium. RNAcentral describes it as "partial 16S ribosomal RNA". It matches the Rfam family "Bacterial small subunit ribosomal RNA", at positions 524 to 768 of the family's 1533-position model. The record is from RNAcentral.